CACGUAGGGCGCAAGCGUUGUCCGGAAUUAUUGGGCGUAAAGAGCUCGUAGGCGGCUUGUCGCGUCGUUCGUGAAAACCUGCAGCUCAACUGCAGGCUUGCGGUCGAUACGGGCAGACUAGAGUGUGGUAGGGGAGACUGGAAUUCCUGGUGUAGCGGUGAAAUGCGCAGAUAUCAGGAGGAACACCGAUGGCGAAGGCAGGUCUCUGGGCCACUACUGACGCUGAGAAGCGAAAGACGUGGGGAGCGAACAGG
This 254-nucleotide ribosomal RNA is filed under the name uncultured bacterium. RNAcentral's name for it is "partial 16S ribosomal RNA". It matches the Rfam family "Bacterial small subunit ribosomal RNA", at positions 524 to 776 of the family's 1533-position model. The record is from RNAcentral.